CAGUCGCCGCGGUAAUACGGAGGGGGCUAGCGUUGUUCGGAAUUACUGGGCGUAAAGCGCACGUAGGCGGCGUGGUAAGUUAGAUGUGAAAUCCCCCGGCUCAACCGGGGAGUGUCAUUGGAAACUGGGAAACUUGAGUGCAUAAGAGGAGAGUGGAAUUCCAUGUGUAGCGGUGAAAUGCGUAGAUAUAUGGAGGAACACCGGUGGCGAAAGCGGCUCUCUGGCUUGUAACUGACGCUGAGGCUCGAAAGCGUGGGGAGCAAACAGGAUUAGAUACCCCCGUAGUCCCUGUCUCUUAUAC
Molecule: ribosomal RNA, 301 nt
Filed under: uncultured bacterium
Lineage: Bacteria
Description: partial 16S ribosomal RNA
Rfam family: Bacterial small subunit ribosomal RNA
Source: RNAcentral